Molecule: ribosomal RNA, 467 nt
Filed under: uncultured bacterium
Lineage: Bacteria
Description: partial 16S ribosomal RNA
Rfam family: Bacterial small subunit ribosomal RNA
Source: RNAcentral
GAUGAACGCUGACAGAAUGCUUAACACAUGCAAGUCAACUUGAAUUUGGGUUUUUAACUUAGGUUUGGGUGGCGGACGGGUGAGUAACGCGUAAAGAACUUGCCUCACAGCUAGGAACAACAUUUGGAAACGAAUGCUAAUACCUAAUAUUAUGAUAAUAGGGCAUCCUUUAAUUAUGAAAGCUAUAAGCGCUGUGAGAGAGCUUUGCGUCCCAUUAGCUAGUUGGAGAGGUAACGGCUCAUCAAGGCGAUGAUGGGUAGCCGGCCUGAGAGGGUGAUCGGCCACAAGGGGACUGAGACACGGCCCUUACUCCUACGGGAGGCAGCAGUGGGGAAUAUUGGACAAUGGACCAAGAGUCUGAUCCAGCAAUUCUGUGUGCACGAUGAAGUUUUUCGGAAUGUAAAGUGCUUUCAGUUGGGAAGAAAGAAAUGACGGUACCAACAGAAGAAGUGACGGCUAACUACGUG